This 482-nucleotide ribosomal RNA is filed under the name uncultured bacterium. Its description in RNAcentral is "partial 16S ribosomal RNA". It matches the Rfam family "Bacterial small subunit ribosomal RNA", at positions 30 to 507 of the family's 1533-position model. The record is from RNAcentral.
AUUGAACGCUGGCGGCAUGAUUUACACAUGCAAGUCGAACGGUAACAGGCCGCAAGGUGCUGACGAGUGGCGAACGGGUGAGUAAUGCAUCGGAACGUGCCCAGUCGUGGGGGAUAACUACUCGAAAGAGUAGCUAAUACCGCAUACGAUCUAUGGAUGAAAGCGGGGGACCGUAAGGCCUCGCGCGAUUGGAGCGGCCGAUGUCAGAUUAGGUAGUUGGUGGGGUAAAGGCUCACCAAGCCAACGAUCUGUAGCUGGUCUGAGAGGACGACCCGCCACACUGGGACUGAGACACGGUCCAGACUCCUACGGGAGGCAGCAGUGGGGAAUUUUGGACAAUGGGCGCAAGCCUGAUCCAGCAAUGCCGCGUGCAGGAAGAAGGCCUUCGGGUUGUAAACUGCUUUUGUACGGAACGAAACGGCUCUGGUUAAUACCCGGGGCUAAUGACGGUACCGUAAGAAUAAGCACCGGCUAACUACGUG